Molecule: long non-coding RNA, 2441 nt
Organism: Bactrocera dorsalis (oriental fruit fly)
Lineage: Eukaryota; Metazoa; Arthropoda; Insecta; Diptera; Tephritidae
Exons: 2
Source: RefSeq, a predicted model, not a curated record
UUAUAAUUUUAUUAAUAUUUUUUUUAUUAAUUUUUUUUUAUUUUGUAGAAUUUCAAUAUUAUUUUUUUAUUUUAUUUUAUAUACAAUUUUUAUAUUUUUCUUAUUUUUAAAAUUUAAUUUAUUUUUGCUUUCAAAUUUUAUCAUAUUUUUGUUUUAAUUUGAUUAUCUUUUUAUUUUUAAAAAAUUUUAUUUUACGUACUGUCAUUUACAAGGCCGCUACGUUCUAUAUCAUACGUAUGUACAUACAUUUUGGGCGCCCCUUUAUUAAACAGAAAAUUAUAAUAAAUAAAUUAAUUAAAACUAUUUUUUGUUGCACAACAUUUCUUUUUAUCACGCGCUGAAUUUUGAACUAACGAUUCUAUAUUUAUAUGUGUUAAUAUGGCUUCAUAAUAUCGCUUAGUGUCGUUACAUUUUGUUGUGUUAUUUCUAAUUGAGCCAUACACAAUCUUUGUUAGUGUAGUGUGAACGAGUCAUAAGGGUUUUACCGUUGAUUAGUCGAAAACAGCUGGUUAAACGCAUCACUUGGUAAAAAUAUAAAUCAGCUUCGUAUUUUAUUUGAAAUAUGUGUGUAUAUAAAUUUUAAUUAAUAUUUUUUUAACUCUAUCAAUUCACAAUAAACAUAUUUAUUAUUUAGUAUAAUGCAACAAGUUAUUUUUCUAAUUUAUUACUCGCCACUCGCUCUGAAUAUGUAACUAAUUUAUAUAUUUUAUUAAAUAUCCCUAAUAUUUAAGUGUGUAACGCCAUGCUAAAGUUAUUUCAAGUAAACAGUAACAAUAAAUAUUUGUUGUAUGUAUUUUUUAAGUUUAAUGUACUCUUGGUUUUUUCUGUUUUAAUUGUUGUAAAUUGUAAAUGCUUUUGGAAUUAAAUUUUUUUAAUAACAAUUUUUAGUUCAUAUUCACUUUUUUAUGUUUUUUUUAAUUUUUUUUUUAAUUUUUUUGCCUUUGUUGUUUAAUUCUUUAUAUUCAUUUGCAAUAAUACUUAUGGUGGUGUUUUAAUCUUUUUAUUAAUUUUUAGAUUUCAUUUAAAAUGUUUUCAUUUUUAAAACAAAAGAGUAUUUUUAUUUUAUAUUUUUUACAAACAAUCAUUUAAUAAUAAAUUUAAUUUUUUAAUUUUUAAUAAUUUUAGAUUCGUAAUAAAUAUGUAAAUUUUUGGGAAAAAAUAUUUAUUUAAAACAAUAAUAUAAAAUAAUAUUUUUCGUUUAUUAUUAUUAUUUCUUUUUUGUUUUUAAUAUUGUGUUUUAACUAUGUACAUUUUUUUGGGUGAAAAAUAUUUAUUUAUACAUAUUUACAAAAAAUUAAAUUAUUUUAUCUUAAUUUGCAUUUUUAAUAUUUUUUGUUGUAAUAAUUAUAUCCUUUGAAGAAAUGCAACUCUUGUAUUUUUUAUAUUGAUACAUUUCUUAUUUACUCUUGCAGUGCAUAGUUGUUGUAAUUACGGUAAAGAAGCGUUAGUGCAAAAUUUUAGUUAUUUUUAGUUCGCUUUUAACAUACGAAGUACUCAUGCAAUUAUAAUUUUGUUAUAUUAAUUAAAAAAAUAAAUGAAAUAUUAGAAUUUAUUGAAUAUUUGAGCCUAAUUUCUACUAUUGAUAUUUUAGUAUUCAUAAUUUUGUAAAUUAACGGAAUUUUAUUUUUAGAAUACAUUGCGCAAAGGUAUUUGUAUAUACAUACCUAUGAAUAUGUAAAUACAUAUAAAAGUAUGUAUGUAUGUACAUGAAUACUAAGUAAAUCCUAUUAUGCAGGUCUGAGCAAACAAUAAAAUUACAUACUGUAGUUAACUAAUUUACACAUGUGUGUUUGUAAUUUAAUAACAACAACAAAUAAUAUUAGUACAUACUUUUAAUAACAAGCUAAUUUUAGUUCACUUGUUUGUGCAGCAAUAAAGUCCAUCAAAUUGAGUGCUUGCAUAUACAAAGUAAUAGUACAUAUCCUACAUACACAUGCCCAUUCACACACACACACACAUACGUGCAAGCAAGUAAGCACUUUUUGUUUGCAAUUAAAUUCGGUUUGAAGUCAAGUGCACAGGCAAGCAUAAAUCAAACAAUAUAUUGCACAUAUACACACAUACAUAAAGAAACCGAUAUUAUAUGUAUAUUGUACUUUGUAUUGUAUUGUUUUAAGAGAGAUUUAAUUGUUUAAACACUAUUUUACUUUUCAUAUUAAUUGAUUUGAUUAUUUUAUUUUGAUUUUUGUUAUUUAUAUAUACUUUUAAAAUUAUAUUACCUUCAUAUAAUACAUACAUAUGUUAUGUAAUGCAUACAAACAAACAAACAAAUACAUACAAAUGCAGUCGAAAUGGCGGGUGAGUUAAACGCAAGCGCCGUUAACUCUGCACGAAGGCGCUUUAGUUUAAUUGAUGAAAAGUGUAAAAGUGUAAUAAUCAUAGUUAUUAACAUUUUGUGAAAAUUAAAGUACGAAACUUAAAUAUAUGUGAUCGAUUAAUUA